AUGGAAUUCGGCGUCUUACAGCAGGAUAGUGCCUCGAUGCGCACUGAGGUAGCCAAGCUCCAUCAAGACGUGCAGUCCAUCAGUUCCAAACAAGGUGAUAUCUCUCUGCAAGUAGGUACAGUGGAAAAGGCUGUGUUAGAUCUCAGUAAGCAAUUAUCAGCAAUUAGUUUAGCGCUCAAGACACUAGUGCCUCCCACUAAUCAGAGCCAAACUAUUGAUAUCCCUUCUAGUUCUACACAGUUGGUGAAAUCUCCUACACUGCAGGGAGCAACUACUCAUUUACAGCCUGACAGAACUGAACAAUUACAGAAACAGCUAGAGGAAGAGAAGGAAAAGACUAGACUGGCUGAGGAAUUGCACUUGCAAAAUUUGCCACCUAUUCGCACUAACAGACCCAAUGUUCCACCUGGAUUUGCUCAAUCAAGAAGAAUGGAUUCCUCUAGUCAAGUGGGCACUCCUCUAUCCCAAAGAGAUCCAGGUCACACCCCUGCAUUUCAACAUUUUCGAAACAGGGAGAGGCAACUAUGGCAAGGAUAUUACAGAACAUAUGAGCAGGACAUGCAUGCCCAAUUCAUGAAGGCUAUGACAAAAGGUCCUAAACUGGAAUUUCCUAAAUUCUUUGGAGAGGAUCCUGUGGGAUGUUUGAGACAAUGUAACAAAUACUUUCAAAUGUUUGGUGCUCCUGAAGAAUACAAAGUAUCCUUAGCAUAG
This 711-nucleotide ribosomal RNA is filed under the name Triticum aestivum (bread wheat). RNAcentral describes it as "partial small subunit ribosomal RNA". Lineage: Eukaryota; Viridiplantae; Streptophyta; Magnoliopsida; Poales; Poaceae. The record is from RNAcentral.